Perognathus longimembris pacificus (Pacific pocket mouse) is the source of this 1327-nucleotide long non-coding RNA. RefSeq lists it as uncharacterized. The record is from RefSeq and is a predicted model, not a curated record. NCBI's taxonomy places the organism in Eukaryota, Metazoa, Chordata, Mammalia, Rodentia, Heteromyidae. The transcript has 3 exons.
GUAGUUCUCCAGGGAGUCACUUCAAAUUUCAGCUUACAUAGCCAUCUUCAACAAAUAAAGCCAAAAGAAACAAGGCAACAAAUUGAAGAGAGACUUACAUGUUGAGUUUUUGUUCCCAGCUGGUGGCAUGUUCUGAGUGGUUGUGGAAAGUGUAGGAGGUGGGACCCCACUGGAGGACAUAGGCCUCUGUGGGGUAUAUAUUUGAAGGCUGGACCUCGUUUGUUCAUCAUGGAUGGAGCUGUUCUGCUUUAGCUUCCUCAGCCUGCUGGACAAAUCUUCUGAAACCACUAGCUGGGAGGAAUCUUUCAUCCCUGGCUAAUGGCUCUGUACGAGACAUGCACAUUCAUCUACCCACAACAUCUGUGCAGAACAUGGAAUAGCGUAUCUCUGGGUCUGUAAUUGCUUGCCACCCUGAGCUGAGGAAAAUGAACUCCUGAUAUUUGGGAAGAAACAGACAUUGUUUCUUUAUAAAGUGAUGGGGAUCCUUGUUGUUUAGUGCUAUAAACUAUUUUGUAGACAAAGAGAGAAGAAAAGCUAUGUCUCUUACUGUUAGGAUAUCUAAGGAAACAGAGCCAUUGUUUUCCCAAACUGUAUUUGGUGCAUAAAGCAUGCUUUCAAGAAAAGGUUUCAGUUUCAAGUUUAUAAACCUUCAGAAUGGCUUUUAAAACCUCAUGUGCUAGUAGUUACAAAAUACUAGGGUUUUCAACAUUUUUAUUGUCUACAAAGGAGAGGACAAACAGGCUUCAUUAUCACUCUGUCCAUGGGGAAAAUUAUCCUGUGCUGCAAUAAUCAAGUCCUCAAUCAGUGGAGAACUUUGAGGACCUUGAAACUUAAAACACCCUGAAUGCAAGCUCUUCCUGGUAUUUUGAGAUAGCUCCCUCUUUGUCCUUGACAGCCACGCUCCCUCUCCAGGCAGUACAUGAAGUUGGUUCCCUUUGUAUGGCUCCACAUCAGCCUUGCUGGGACCCUAGAGGAAAUACUCAUUUCUUUUCUUUGUGACCGGGAAAAUAAAAUGGUAGUAACCUCAGAUCAAGUGCUUCUUUUGGUUCUGCUUCUGAAAAUUACAAUUGGUCAGUGUGAUGAUGCCAUCUUGUUUCUGGACUUUUCAUGGUACCUAUUCCUUUACAAAAACGAAUGCCUCCAGUAAAAACAAAACGUAGCUGGCAUAAUGUGUAGAGCCAGGUUGUACAGGUAUCAGCCAGAGUAUGUUAUUAGCUGAUUUGGAUUCUUCAAUAGGAAAGCACAUUCAAUAAUAUAUUAAUAGGCAUUUUUUGGCAUGUACUUAUUUUUAGUAUUUUGUGUAGAGACAAAAAAUACCAUGCCUUGU